GAAGUGUGGACGCCAGUCUGCAUGGAGCCGACCUUGAAAUACCACCCUUUAAUGUUUGAUGUUCUAACGUGGACCCGUGAUCCGGGUUGCGGACAGUGUCUGGUGGGUAGUUUGACUGGGGCGGUCUCCUCCUAAAGAGUAACGGAGGAGCACGAAGGUUGGCUAAUCCUGGUCGGACAUCAGGAGGUUAGUGCAAUGGCAUAAGCCAGCUUGACUGCGAGCGUGACGGCGCGAGCAGGUGCGAAAGCAGGUCAUAGUGAUCCGGUGGUUCUGAAUGGAAGGGCCAUCGCUCAACGGAUAAAAGGUACUCCGGGGAUAACAGGCUGAUACCGCCCAAGAGUUCAUAUCGACGGCGGUGUUUGGCACCUCGAUGUCGGCUCAUCACAUCCUGGGGCUGAAGUAGGUCCCAAGGGUAUGGCUGUUCGCCAUUUAAAGUGGUACGCGAGCUGGGUUUAGAACGUCGUGAGACAGUUCGGUCCCUAUCUGCCGUGGGCGCUGGAGAACUGAGGGGGGCUGCUCCUAGUACGAGAGGACCGGAGUGGACGCAUCACUGGUGUUCGGGUUGUCAUGCCAAUGGCACUGCCCGGUAGCUAAAUGCGGAAGAGAUAAGUGCUGAAAGCAUCUAAGCACGAAACUUGCCCCGAGAUGAGUUCUCCCUGACUCCUUGAGAGUCCUGAAGGAACGUUGAAGACGACGACGUUGAUAGGCCGGGUGUGUAAGCGCAGCGAUGCGUUGAGCUAACCGGUACUAAUGAACCGUGAG
RNAcentral lists this ribosomal RNA (762 nucleotides) under Escherichia coli. Its description in RNAcentral is "partial 23S ribosomal RNA". It matches the Rfam family "Bacterial large subunit ribosomal RNA", at positions 2159 to 2915 of the family's 2925-position model. Lineage: Bacteria; Pseudomonadati; Pseudomonadota; Gammaproteobacteria; Enterobacterales; Enterobacteriaceae. The record is from RNAcentral.